This 301-nucleotide long non-coding RNA is filed under the name Bos indicus x Bos taurus (hybrid cattle). Its description in RNAcentral is "lncRNA (ENSBIXG00000000025.1)". Lineage: Eukaryota; Metazoa; Chordata; Mammalia; Artiodactyla; Bovidae. The record is from RNAcentral.
CACCUACUCUACCAGGAACAUCAGAACAGGAAGGUACAUCCUUAACAGCAGUAAUUCAGGACUUAGCAAGCUCUCUGUUUCACCAACCAACCCUUUAAGUCAACAACCUCCUACUCAUCCAUUGGCACAUGUUUUCCUGAGUGAUAAUUGCCACUCUUCCCACAGGUGAACAGGGUAAGAAGUGGAAAACACCCCAGGCCGAGGCAGCGCCUGCAGCUUGCUUUGUUUUGUUUUGAAAUUGCUUGAGAGAAAUCUUCCUUGUACCUCCUAAGCUGCCUGUCAUAUGUGAAAAGCCGGAACG